Molecule: ribosomal RNA, 206 nt
Filed under: uncultured bacterium
Lineage: Bacteria
Description: partial 16S ribosomal RNA
Rfam family: Bacterial small subunit ribosomal RNA
Source: RNAcentral
GACGAACGCUGGCGGCGUGCCUAAUACAUGCAAGUCGAGCGAAUGGUAGGGAGCUUGCUCCUUACCAUUAGCGGCGGACGGGUGAGUAACACGUGGGCAACCUGCCUAUAAGACUGGGAUAACUUCGGGAAACCGGAGCUAAUACCGGAUACAUUCUUUUCUCGCAUGAGAGAAGAUGGAAAGACGGUUCUGCUGUCACUUAUAGA